CCUACGGGAGGCAGCAAUUAGGAAUCAUGCGCAAUGGACGAAAGUCUGACGCUGCGACAUCGCGUGGAGGAUGACGGCCUUCGGGUUGUAAACUCCUUUUAUAGUUGAACAAGUUCUGAGUGUAAACUAUGAAUAAGGUGCUUCUAACUACGUGCCAGAAGAAUCGGUGAUACGUAGGCAUCGAGCGCUAUCCGGAAUUACUGGGCGUAAAGAGAUGCGUAGGCGUCCUAGCAAGUUUUCUGUUAAAUCAUACAGCUCAACUGUAUGACCGCGGAAGAAACUGCAAGGAUUGAGAAAUUCAGGGGAAAAGGGAAUUCCUGGUGGAGCGGUGAAAUGCGUUGAUAUCAGGAGGAACACCAAUGGCGAAGGCACUUUUCUGGGGAUUUUCUGACGCUAAGGCUCGAAAGCUAGGGUAGCAAAACGGAUUAGAUACCCUGGUA
Molecule: ribosomal RNA, 440 nt
Filed under: uncultured bacterium
Lineage: Bacteria
Description: bacterial SSU rRNA
Rfam family: Bacterial small subunit ribosomal RNA
Source: RNAcentral